CGUGCACCAGUGGGGUCCCUCGGCCUGGCCUGUGGGAUCGGUCCCAAACUGGCUUUCUGACAUCCCCUGAGGGGUCCCGAAUUGUGAGAGGGCGCAGGCCAGGCUGAGGGACCCCACCGGUGCACU
This 126-nucleotide microRNA precursor is filed under the name Myotis lucifugus (little brown bat). Its description in RNAcentral is "mir-9193 microRNA precursor family". It matches the Rfam family "mir-9193 microRNA precursor family". The record is from Rfam by way of RNAcentral. Lineage: Eukaryota; Metazoa; Chordata; Mammalia; Chiroptera; Vespertilionidae.